This 126-nucleotide small nucleolar RNA is filed under the name Microtus ochrogaster (prairie vole). RNAcentral's name for it is "Small nucleolar RNA SNORD22 (ENSMOCG00000010789.1)". It matches the Rfam family "Small nucleolar RNA SNORD22". From Rfam's summary of the family: U22 is a member of the C/D class of snoRNA which contain the C (UGAUGA) and D (CUGA) box motifs. U22 is encoded within the U22 snoRNA host gene (UHG) in mammals and has also been identified in Xenopus. U22 is thought to as a 2'-O-ribose methylation guide for ribosomal RNA. The record is from Rfam by way of RNAcentral. Lineage: Eukaryota; Metazoa; Chordata; Mammalia; Rodentia; Cricetidae.
UCCCUAUGAAGAAACUUUCACAUGUCUUACUUCCUGUCCUAGCGCCAGAGCCUGAAAAGGUGAACCCACUGGGGCUGGCUGGGGGAAAAGAGGAAGAUUUGUUCCAGAAGGAACUGUCUGAGGGAU